This 253-nucleotide ribosomal RNA is filed under the name uncultured bacterium. RNAcentral's name for it is "partial 16S ribosomal RNA". It matches the Rfam family "Archaeal small subunit ribosomal RNA", at positions 474 to 727 of the family's 1478-position model. The record is from RNAcentral.
UACCAGCACCCCGAGUGGUCGGGACGAUUAUUGGGCCUAAAGCAUCCGUAGCCGGUUUUACAAGUCCUCCGUUAAAUCCAGCUGCUUAACAGAUGGGCUGCGGAGGAUACUAUAAGUCUAGGAGGCAGGAGAGGCAAGCGGUACUCAGUGGGUAGGGGUAAAAUCCGUUGAUCCAUUGAAGACCACCAGUGGCGAAGGCGGCUUGCCAGAAUGCGCUCGACGGUGAGGGAUGAAAGCUGGGGGAGCAAACCGG